UUGCUUUGGCAGCACAUGUAAUAAAAUUGAAUCGAUACAGAGAAGCUUAGUAUGGUCCCUGCACAAGGAUGGCACACCAAUUCUUGAAGCAUUCCAUAUUAAA
Ochotona curzoniae (black-lipped pika) is the source of this 103-nucleotide small nuclear RNA. The record is from RefSeq and is a predicted model, not a curated record. NCBI's taxonomy places the organism in Eukaryota, Metazoa, Chordata, Mammalia, Lagomorpha, Ochotonidae.